This 244-nucleotide ribosomal RNA is filed under the name uncultured bacterium. RNAcentral's name for it is "partial 16S ribosomal RNA". It matches the Rfam family "Bacterial small subunit ribosomal RNA", at positions 333 to 594 of the family's 1533-position model. The record is from RNAcentral.
AUGAGCCUACGGGAGGCAGCAGUGGGGGAUAUUGCACAAUGGGGGGAACCCUGAUGCAGCGACGCCGCGUGGGUGAAGGAGCGUUUCGGCGCGUAAAGCCCUAUCGGCAGGGAAGAAGAUGACGGUACCUGACCAAGAAGCCCCGGCUAACUACGUGCCAGCCGCCGCGGUAAUACGUAGGGGGCAAGCGUUAUCCGGAUUGACUGGGUGUAAAGGGGGCGCAGACGGCAAUGCAAGCCAGGAG